UAAGCAGUUUUUUUCACAAAAAAUUCCCAACAUAAUAAUAAUAAUAAUAAUAAGCGAAAACUUUAAAAUCCCCGUUUCAUAUUUUUUUAUUUUAAUAUUCUGAGAUUGAAAGUGUAUCAAGUUAGUAUCAUAUGAUUUCUUACUUUAUCAUUUUAGUAUCAUGUGGUUUAAAGUAUAUCAAAUUAGUACCCUGUGGUUUCGCACUUUAUCACUUUAAUACCCUGUGGUUUCGCACUUUAUCAUUUUAGUACCAUGUGGUUUAAAAACCACAGGAUACUAACUUGAUACAAAAUUAAAAUCACAGAAUACUAAAGUGAUAAAGUGCAAAACCACAUGAUACUAACUUGAUACACUUUAAACCACAUGAUACUAAAGUGAUAAAGUAAGAAACCAUAGGGUACUAACUUGAUACAUUUUAAACCACAGUAUACUAAAGUAAAAAAAAAGUGAAACCACAAGGAGAAUUUUUAAAGUUUUUCCUAAUAAUAAUAAUAAUAUUUUAUAUUUUGUAA
RNAcentral lists this long non-coding RNA (512 nucleotides) under Ananas comosus (pineapple). RNAcentral's name for it is "long non-coding RNA (ACOM_LNC028672)". Lineage: Eukaryota; Viridiplantae; Streptophyta; Magnoliopsida; Poales; Bromeliaceae. The record is from RNAcentral.